UCGGCUUAGAGUUUGAUCAUGGCUCACAUUGAACGCUGGCGGCAGGCCUAACACAUGCAAGUCGAGCGGUAGGGAAGCUUGCUUCUCACGAGCGGCGGACGGGUGAGUAAUGUAUGGGGAUCUGCCCGAUAGAGGGGGAUAACUACUGGAAACGGUAGCUAAUACCGCAUAAUCUCUAAGGAGCAAAGCAGUUCGUUGCGCUAUCGGAUGAACCCAUAUGGGAUUAGCUAGUUGGUGAGGUAAUGGCUCACCAAGGCGACGAUCCCUAGCUGGUCUGAGAGGAUGAUCAGCCACACUGGGACUGAAACACGGCCCAGACUCCUACGGGAGGCAGCAGUGGGGAAUAUUGCACAAUGGGCGCAAGCCUGAUGCAGCCAUGCCGCGUGUAUGAAGAAGGCCUUAGGGUUGUAAAGUACUUUCAGUUGGGAGGAAGGCGUUGAUUAAUAUCAGCGAUUGACGUUACCAACAGAAGAAGCACCGGCUAACUCCGUGCCAUCAGCCGCGGUAAUACGGAGGGUGCAAGCGUUAAUCGCAAUUACUGGGCGUAAGCGCACGCAGGCGGUUGAUUAAGUUAGAUGUGAAAUCUCCGGGCUUAA
This 596-nucleotide ribosomal RNA is filed under the name uncultured Providencia sp. RNAcentral's name for it is "bacterial SSU rRNA". It matches the Rfam family "Bacterial small subunit ribosomal RNA", at positions 1 to 612 of the family's 1533-position model. The record is from RNAcentral. Lineage: Bacteria; Pseudomonadati; Pseudomonadota; Gammaproteobacteria; Enterobacterales; Morganellaceae.